GGGCGAUUAGCUCAGCGGGAGAGCACUGCCCUCACACGGCAGGGGUCGUUGGUUCAAUCCCAACAUCGCCUACCA
This 75-nucleotide transfer RNA is filed under the name Nitrospirota bacterium. Its description in RNAcentral is "Nitrospirae bacterium (groundwater metagenome) tRNA-Val". It matches the Rfam family "tRNA". Rfam says of the family: Transfer RNA (tRNA) molecules are approximately 80 nucleotides in length. The record is from RNAcentral. Lineage: Bacteria; Pseudomonadati; Nitrospirota.